UUGUCUCCUGGAUGAAGUCUAGUCCCAAAUGAUGCUAGUUUCCAACUUCGAUCUAACAAGUGGGAGAACGACAAGACCUACCGUAUAGGGCUUCAUACGGAGCCAUGCCAAUACAGUAAUGAUAAUUGUUAUUAUAAGCAAAUUCACACAGGGAAGAUACUCAUACCAGUUAUCACCAAAGUCAAGGACACAAACACGCAAAAUAUCUUCCAACGUCUGGAUAAUACGUUUUGACUGACCAU
RNAcentral lists this long non-coding RNA (242 nucleotides) under Carica papaya (papaya). RNAcentral's name for it is "long non-coding RNA (CPAP_LNC013274)". Lineage: Eukaryota; Viridiplantae; Streptophyta; Magnoliopsida; Brassicales; Caricaceae. The record is from RNAcentral.